GUUUUUUGGUUCUUGGGUCCAUUAAAUUGCCUAUCUUUUGGAACAUUUGGAGUGCCUGGAUUACUUUCUACAAUUAUACUAUAUAUUUGGUCUCUUUGGUACUGGGACUGAUCCAAGAGCACCGUAGGAUUCCAGAACGAAAGGCUGAGUGCAGUUCCACUACCCGUAUAGUGAUUAUUGUAGAUUAAAGACACAUUACUGGGAGUAUUAUUGCUGAAGAGCCAG
Pelobates cultripes (western spadefoot toad) is the source of this 225-nucleotide non-coding RNA. NCBI's taxonomy places the organism in Eukaryota, Metazoa, Chordata, Amphibia, Anura, Pelobatidae. The record is from the annotation of a GenBank genome assembly.